Molecule: transfer RNA, 72 nt
Filed under: Bos taurus (domestic cattle)
Lineage: Eukaryota; Metazoa; Chordata; Mammalia; Artiodactyla; Bovidae
Also listed under: 3 other names
Rfam family: tRNA
About the family: Transfer RNA (tRNA) molecules are approximately 80 nucleotides in length. Their secondary structure includes four short double-helical elements and three loops (D, anti-codon, and T loops). Further hydrogen bonds mediate the characteristic L-shaped molecular structure. tRNAs have two regions of fundamental functional importance: the anti-codon, which is responsible for specific mRNA codon recognition, and the 3' end, to which the tRNAs corresponding amino acid is attached (by aminoacyl-tRNA synthetases). tRNAs cope with the degeneracy of the genetic code in two manners: having more than one tRNA (with a specific anti-codon) for a particular amino acid; and 'wobble' base-pairing, i.e. permitting non-standard base-pairing at the 3rd anti-codon position.
Source: Rfam by way of RNAcentral
UCCUUGGUGUCUUAGUGGUAAAGAAUCUGCCUGCCAGUGCAGAAGACACGGGUUUGAUCCCUGGACUGGGAA